RNAcentral lists this long non-coding RNA (326 nucleotides) under Citrus sinensis (sweet orange). RNAcentral's name for it is "long non-coding RNA (CSIN_LNC003808)". The record is from RNAcentral. Lineage: Eukaryota; Viridiplantae; Streptophyta; Magnoliopsida; Sapindales; Rutaceae.
AAAAAGAGGGAGCUUGCAUAGCCAAUAGGAGUCUUCCACGGGUGUUGGCGAUGAUGCAACCGAGGCAAGGGAACUGUUGAUGCAAGGUUAAAAUGCCGAGACUGUUAGUUGCAGCUUCUGCAACUUAGCCGUGUCUUAUGUGGUAGAAAAUGUGGCCAUGCACACGGAUAAAAUUGUGCGGUCUAUGGAUUGUCGUAGAGUAGUCUAUAUAAAUGCAAGGACGAGAGUAGCAUUGUUGUUGUAAAGCGAAGCCCUGCCAAUGAAAGAAAAUGUAUUCAAAAAGCUCCACCUGCUAUGUAAAAUCUCAGUUAGCUACUUUUUCGUCA